RNAcentral lists this ribosomal RNA (253 nucleotides) under uncultured bacterium. RNAcentral describes it as "partial 16S ribosomal RNA". It matches the Rfam family "Bacterial small subunit ribosomal RNA", at positions 524 to 776 of the family's 1533-position model. The record is from RNAcentral.
UACGGAGGGGACUAGCGUUGUUCGGAAUUACUGGGCGUAAAGCGCACGUAGGCGGCUUUGUAAGUCAGGGGUGAAAUCCCGGGGCUCAACCCCGGAACUGCCUUUGAUACUGCAAAUCUCGAGUCCGGAAGAGGUGAGUGGAAUUCCUAGUGUAGAGGUGAAAUUCGUAGAUAUUAGGAAGAACACCAGUGGCGAAGGCGGCUCACUGGUCCGGUACUGACGCUGAGGUGCGAAAGCGUGGGGAGCAAACAGG